AUUGAACGCUGGCGGCAGGCCUAACACAUGCAAGUCGAGCGGAUGAAGGCAGCUUGCUCCUGGAUUCCGCGGCGGACGGGUGAGUAAUGCCUAGGAAUCUGCCUGGCAGUGGGGGAUAACGUCCGGAAACGGGCGCUAAUACCGCAUACGUCCUGCGGGAGCAAGUGGGGGAUCUUCGGACCUCACGCUCUCAGAUGAGCCUAGGUCGGAUUAGCUAGUUGGUGGGUUAAAGGCCUACCAAGGCGACGAUCCGUAACUGGUCUGAGAGGAUGAUCAGUCACACGGGAACUGAGACGGGGUCCAGACUCCUACGGGAGGCAGCAGAGGGGAAUAUGGGACAGUGGGCGAAAGCCUGACCCAGUGAGGCGGCGUGUGAGAAGAAGGUCUUCGGAUUGUAAAGCACGUUAAGUGGGGAGGAAGGGCAGUAAGUUAAUACCUUGCUGGUGUGACGGUAACAACAGAAUAAGCACCGGCUAACUUCGUG
This 484-nucleotide ribosomal RNA is filed under the name uncultured bacterium. Its description in RNAcentral is "partial 16S ribosomal RNA". It matches the Rfam family "Bacterial small subunit ribosomal RNA", at positions 29 to 507 of the family's 1533-position model. The record is from RNAcentral.